RNAcentral lists this ribosomal RNA (1315 nucleotides) under Arthrobacter globiformis. RNAcentral's name for it is "bacterial SSU rRNA". It matches the Rfam family "Bacterial small subunit ribosomal RNA", at positions 54 to 1367 of the family's 1533-position model. Lineage: Bacteria; Bacillati; Actinomycetota; Actinomycetes; Micrococcales; Micrococcaceae. The record is from RNAcentral.
GAUGCUGAGCUGAUCUGGGCUAGGAGUCGAACCAGGUAUAGUUUGAUCCAGGGUGGGAAGUCGGUGAAAAGGAAAAGUUUAAUCCGCCCUUGACUCUGGGAUAAACCUGGGAAACUGGGUCUAAUACCGGAUAUGACCUUCCAUCGCAUGGUGGUUGGUGGAAAGCUUUUGUGGUUUUGGAUGGACUCGCGGCCUAUCAGCUUGUUGGUGGGGUAAUGGCCUACCAAGGCGACGACGGGUAGCCGGCCUGAGAGGGUGACCGGCCACACUGGGACUGAGACACGGCCCAGACUCCUACGGGAGGCAGCAGUGGGGAAUAUUGCACAAUGGGCGCAAGCCUGAUGCAGCGACGCCGCGUGAGGGAUGACGGCCUUCGGGUUGUAAACCUCUUUCAGUAGGGAAGAAGCGAAAGUGACGGUACCUGCAGAAGAAGCGCCGGCUAACUACGUGCCAGCAGCCGCGGUAAUACGUAGGGCGCAAGCGUUAUCCGGGAAUUAUUGGGCGUAAAGAGCUCGUAGGCGGUUUGUCGCGUCUGCCGUGAAAGUCCGGGGCUCAACUCCGGAUCUGCGGUGGGUACGGGCAGACUAGAGUGAUGUAGGGGAGACUGGAAUUCCUGGUGUAGCGGUGAAAUGCGCAGAUAUCAGGAGGAACACCGAUGGCGAAGGCAGGUCUCUGGGCAUUAACUGACGCUGAGGAGCGAAAGCAUGGGGAGCGAACAGGAUUAGAUACCCUGGUAGUCCAUGCCGUAAACGUUGGGCACUAGGUGUGGGGGACAUUCCACGUUUUCCGCGCCGUAGCUAACGCAUUAAGUGCCCCGCCUGGGGAGUACGGCCGCAAGGCUAAAACUCAAAGGAAUUGACGGGGGCCCGCACAAGCGGCGGAGCAUGCGGAUUAAUUCGAUGCAACGCGAAGAACCUUACCAAGGCUUGACAUGGACCGGAUCGCCGCAGAAAUGUGGUUUCUCCUUUUGGGGCUGGUUUACAGGUGGUGCAUGGUUGUCGUCAGCUCGUGUCGUGAGAUGUUGGGUUAAGUCCCGCAACGAGCGCAACCCUCGUUCUAUGUUGCCAGCACGUGAUGGUGGGGACUCAUAGGAGACUGCCGGGGUCAACUCGGAGGAAGGUGGGGACGACGUCAAAUCAUCAUGCCCCUUAUGUCUUGGGCUUCACGCAUGCUACAAUGGCCGGUACAAAGGGUUGCGAUACUGUGAGGUGGAGCUAAUCCCAAAAAGCCGGUCUCAGUUCGGAUUGGGGUCUGCAACUCGACCCCAUGAAGUCGGAGUCGCUAGUAAUCGCAGAUCAGCAUUGCUGCGGUGAAU